RNAcentral lists this ribosomal RNA (468 nucleotides) under uncultured bacterium. RNAcentral describes it as "partial 16S ribosomal RNA". It matches the Rfam family "Bacterial small subunit ribosomal RNA", at positions 28 to 507 of the family's 1533-position model. The record is from RNAcentral.
GAUGAACGCUGGCGGCGUGCUUAACACAUGCAAGUCGAACGGAAAAGCCCAGCUUUCUUGGGGGGCUCGAGUGGAAAACGGGUGUAACACGUGAGUAUCCUCUCCUUUACACUGUGGUAUGACUUGGGAAAUCUGUGUAAUACAGGAGAUGAGCGCCUACCGCGUAUGGUGGGGUGUGAAAAGUUUUGGCGGUUGGGGAUGGACUCGCGGCAUCUCAGCUUGUUGGUGGGGUAGUGGCUUACCAAGGCCUUGACGGGUAGCCGGCCUGAGAGGGUGACCGGCCACAUUGGGACUGAGAUACGGCCCAGACUCCUACGGGAGGCAGCAGUGGGGAAUAUUGCACAAUGGGCGGAAGCCUGAUGCAGCAACGCCGCGUGCGGGAUGACGGCCUUCGGGUUGUAAACCGCUUUCGCCUGGGACGAAGCGAGAGUGACGGUAAUUGGAAAAGAAGCACCGGCUAACUACGUG